RNAcentral lists this ribosomal RNA (497 nucleotides) under uncultured bacterium. Its description in RNAcentral is "partial 16S ribosomal RNA". It matches the Rfam family "Bacterial small subunit ribosomal RNA", at positions 28 to 507 of the family's 1533-position model. The record is from RNAcentral.
GAUGAACGCUGGCGGCGUGCCUAAUACAUGCAAGUCGAGCGAACAGACGAGGAGCUUGCUCCUUUGACGUUAGCGGCGGACGGGUGAGUAACACGUAGGUAACCUACCUAUAAGACUGGGAUAACUUCGGGAAACCGGAGCUAAUACCGGAUAAUAUUUCGAACCGCAUGGUUCGAUAGUGAAAGAUGGCUUUGCUAUCACUUAUAGAUGGACCUGCGCCGUAUUAGCUAGUUGGUAAGGUAACGGCUUACCAAGGCAACGAUACGUAACCGACCUGAGAGGGUGAUCGGCCACACUGGAACUGAGACACGGUCCAGACUCCUACGGGAGGCAGCAGUAGGGAAUCUUCCGCAAAGGGCGAAAGCCUGACGGAGCAACGCCGCGUGAGUGAUGAAGGUCUUCGGAUCGUAAAACUCUGUUAUUAGGGAAGAACAAACGUGUAAGUAACUGUGCACGUCUUGACGGUACCUAAUCAGAAAGCCACGGCUAACUACGUG